RNAcentral lists this long non-coding RNA (353 nucleotides) under Bos taurus (domestic cattle). RNAcentral's name for it is "long non-coding RNA NONBTAT025962". Lineage: Eukaryota; Metazoa; Chordata; Mammalia; Artiodactyla; Bovidae. The record is from RNAcentral.
ACUUUCCAGUCAUUAAAAUGUAGCUCAUGUAUAAAGGAAUAUUUGAUGGACAAUUGGUUUAUCUCAACAGCUCUGUAAAUUCUGUCAGCUUAUUACUGCUUAAAUGAAAUAUAUCUUCUUUUGCAAUUAGUCUUUCUUAAUCAUCUGGAUUUAUGUCCUAAGAUUGCCUUCUGAUUGUCACUGACUUUAACUCUCUCAUGUAACCAUAAAUACUUAUUUAAUGUCCACUGUACCCACAGCUCUUGUUAGGUCCAAAAGCUCCAUGUCAGAAUCUUAAAAGCAGAAAGAGGCAUGGACCUAAAGAGUCUUAAAUAACUUUCCCUUUAUGUAAAUCCUGGUCUUUCUAGGUAAAU